RNAcentral lists this non-coding RNA (22 nucleotides) under Rattus norvegicus (Norway rat). Lineage: Eukaryota; Metazoa; Chordata; Mammalia; Rodentia; Muridae. The record is from RNAcentral.
UGGCCCUGGGACACGUGUAACA